CCUACGAGUGGCAGCAGUGGGGAAUAUUGGGCAAUGGGCGCAAGCCUGACCCAGCAAUGCCGCGUGAAGGAAGAAGGCUUUCGGGUUGUAAACGUCUUUGACAGGGGAAGAGCAGAAGACGGUACCCUGAAAACAAGCCACGGCUAACUACGUGCCAGCAGCAGCGGUAAUACGUAGGGGGCAAGCGUUGUCCGGAGUUACGGGGUGUAAAGGGCGUGUAGCCGGGAAGGCAAGUCAGAUGUGAAAUCCGGAGGCUCAACCUCCGAAUUGCAUUGGAAACUGUUUUUCGUGAGUACUGGAGAGGCAGACGGAAUUGCUUGUGUAGCGGUGAAAUGCGUGUAUAUAAGGAGGAAACCCAGUGGCGAAGGCGGUCUGCUGGACAGCAACUGACGGUGAGGCGCGAAAGCGUGGGGAGCAAACAGGAUUAGAUACCCUUGUAGUC
This 442-nucleotide ribosomal RNA is filed under the name uncultured bacterium. Its description in RNAcentral is "partial 16S ribosomal RNA". It matches the Rfam family "Bacterial small subunit ribosomal RNA", at positions 338 to 795 of the family's 1533-position model. The record is from RNAcentral.